UACAGAGGUCUCAAGCGUUGUUCGGAUUCAUUGGGCGUAAAGGGUGCGUAGGUGGCGCUGUAAGUCGGGUGUGAAAUUUCGGAGCUUAACUCCGAAACUGCAUUCGAUACUGCGGUGCUUGAGGACUGGAGAGGAGACUGGAAUUCCUGGUGUAGCGGUGGAAUGCGCAGAUAUCAGGAGGAACACCGGUGGCGAAGGCGGGUCUCUGGGCAGUAACUGACGCUGAGGAGCGAAAGCGUGGGGAGCGAACAGG
This 253-nucleotide ribosomal RNA is filed under the name uncultured bacterium. RNAcentral describes it as "partial 16S ribosomal RNA". It matches the Rfam family "Bacterial small subunit ribosomal RNA", at positions 524 to 776 of the family's 1533-position model. The record is from RNAcentral.